RNAcentral lists this ribosomal RNA (253 nucleotides) under uncultured bacterium. RNAcentral describes it as "partial 16S ribosomal RNA". It matches the Rfam family "Bacterial small subunit ribosomal RNA", at positions 524 to 776 of the family's 1533-position model. The record is from RNAcentral.
UACGGAGGGAGCUAGCGUUGUUCGGAAUUACUGGGCGUAAAGCGCGCGUAGGCGGCUUUGUAAGUUAGAGGUGAAAGCCCGGGGCUCAACCCCGGAACUGCCUUUAAGACUGCAUCGCUUGAAUCCAGGAGAGGUGAGUGGAAUUCCGAGUGUAGAGGUGAAAUUCGUAGAUAUUCGGAAGAACACCAGUGGCGAAGGCGGCUCACUGGACUGGUAUUGACGCUGAGGCGCGAAAGCCAGGGGAGCAAACGGG